GAUCCUACGGGAGGGCAGCAGUAGGGAAUCUCCGCAAUGCACGCAAGCGGAAUCGAGCACAGCCGGGGGAGUCAUGAAGGUGCACGGCUCGUAAAGCUCUGUGCCAGGGAAGAACGACAGCUAGAGUAACUGCGAGAGAUAGUGACGGUAUUGAGAAAGACGCCCCGGGC
RNAcentral lists this ribosomal RNA (170 nucleotides) under uncultured Streptococcus sp. RNAcentral's name for it is "partial 16S ribosomal RNA". The record is from RNAcentral. Lineage: Bacteria; Bacillati; Bacillota; Bacilli; Lactobacillales; Streptococcaceae.